CAGCCGCCGCGGGAAUACGAAGGGUGCAAGCGUUAAUCGGAAUUACUGGGCGUAAAGCGUGCGUAGGCGGUGAGUUAAGUCUGCUGUGAAAUCCCCGGGCUCAACCUGGGAAUGGCAGUGGAUACUGGCUCGCUAGAGUGUGUCAGAGGAUGGUGGAAUUCCCGGUGUAGCGGUGAAAUGCGUAGAGAUCGGGAGGAACAUCAGUGGCGAAGGCGGCCAUCUGGGACAACACUGACGCUGAGGCACGAAAGCGUGGGGAGCAAACGGGAUUAGAUACCCCUGUAGUCCCUGUCUCUUAUAA
This 301-nucleotide ribosomal RNA is filed under the name uncultured bacterium. RNAcentral describes it as "partial 16S ribosomal RNA". It matches the Rfam family "Bacterial small subunit ribosomal RNA", at positions 509 to 809 of the family's 1533-position model. The record is from RNAcentral.